UACCAGCUCUCCGAGUUGUAGGGACGAUUAUUGGGCUUAAAGCGUCCGUAGCCGGCUUAGCAAGUCUCCUGUUAAAUUCAGCGACCUAAUCGUUGAGCCGCGGGAGAUACUACUAGGCUAGGAGGCGGGAGAGGUCGACGGUACUUUCGGGGUAGGGGUGAAAUCCUAUAAUCCCGGGAGGACCACCAGUGGCGAAGGCUGUCGACUAGAACGCGCUCGACGGUGAGGGACGAAAGCUGGGGGAGCGAACCGGAUUAGAUACCCGGGUAGUCCCAGCUGUAAACGAUGCGAGCUAGGUGUUGGGGUGGCUACGUGCCACUUCAGUGCCGCAGGAAAGCCAUUAAGCUCGCCGCCUGGGGAGUACGGCCGCAAGGCUGAAACUUAAAGGAAUUGGCGGGGAGCACCACAAGGCGUGAAGCUUGCGGUUC
Molecule: ribosomal RNA, 428 nt
Filed under: uncultured archaeon
Lineage: Archaea
Description: bacterial SSU rRNA
Rfam family: Archaeal small subunit ribosomal RNA
Source: RNAcentral